RNAcentral lists this long non-coding RNA (351 nucleotides) under Elaeis guineensis (African oil palm). RNAcentral describes it as "long non-coding RNA (EGUI_LNC011256)". Lineage: Eukaryota; Viridiplantae; Streptophyta; Magnoliopsida; Arecales; Arecaceae. The record is from RNAcentral.
AAUAGACUGAGGUACUUGGGUUAUCUAUAGUGCAGGGAAUGAUGUAGCACUCAUUUUAAAAGUGCAAGCUGAGACGAGAACUUGGAAAGCCAUGGGACUCAGUUGCACAAGAUAUGGGGAACAUUGGAAAGAGCCAUCUCUUGUGUGGAUGAUUGUGAAGCUGAAGCACUUGAAUGGUAUGAGAUAUCAAUUGAACUUAAUGGAACUGCUCUCAGGGUGAAGGCGUUGGUAAGCCGAGGUACUAGAGGCAGACAUUUGGCUUAAUGGAACUGCUCUCAAGGUGAAGGCGUUGGUAAGCCGAGGUACUAGAGGCAGAUAUUUGGCUGAAGGUGUCUUCUUGCUACACAGGCA